Molecule: ribosomal RNA, 1120 nt
Filed under: human gut metagenome
Description: bacterial LSU rRNA
Rfam family: Bacterial large subunit ribosomal RNA
Source: RNAcentral
GAGAGAAUGCCGGAAUGAGUAGCGAGAGGAAGGUGAGAAUCCUUCCGGCCGAAUACCCAAGGUUUCCAGAGUAAAGCUGAUCUGCUCUGGGUAAGUCGGGGCCUAAGGUGAGGUCGAAAGACGUAGCCGAUGGACAACAGGUUGAAAUUCCUGUACUGCAGUAUAACAGAACUGUGGGGACGCAGAGGGAGAGCACUAGCGGGAAUGGAAUCCCGUGGCAAGCGAGGUAGGAGUAGAGUUGGCAAAUCCGCUCUAUAAUCCGAAGACGUGAUGCAUACCGAACUGAAGUAGGGAAAUGUGUGAGCCAGCUGCCAAGAAAAGCCGCUAUUGUUUGUACUGUACCCGUACCGUAAACCGACACAGGUAGGUGAGGAGAGAAUCCUAAGGCCGACGGGAGAAGCAUUGUUAAGGAACUCGGCAAAAUGACUCCGUAACUUCGGGAGAAGGAGUGCCAGUGAGAGCUGGCCGCAGAGAAUUGGCCCAAGCAACUGUUUAGCAAAAACACAGGUCUAUGCAAAACCGUAAGGUGAAGUAUAUGGGCUGACGCCUGCCCGGUGCUGGAAGGUUAAGGGGAGAGGUUAGCGCAAGCGAAGCUUUGAACUUAAGCCCCAGUAAACGGCGGCCGUAACUAUAACGGUCCUAAGGUAGCGAAAUUCCUUGUCGGGUAAGUUCCGACCCGCACGAAAGGCGUAAUGAUUUGGGCACUGUCUCGACAAUGCACCCGGUGAAAUUGAAAUACCAGUGAAGAUGCUGGUUACCUGCGCCAGGACGGAAAGACCCCAUGGAGCUUUACUCCAGCUUGAUACUGGGAUUCGGUAUUGUAUGUACAGGAUAGGUGGGAGGCUUUGAAGUGGUUACGCCAGUAGCCAUGGAGCCGCUGUUGGGAUACCACCCUUGCAGUACUGGGUUUCUAACCAGCAGCCGUGAUCCGGCUGGGGGACAAUGUCAGGUGGGGAGUUUGACUGGGGCGGUCGCCUCCGAAAGGGUAUCGGAGGCGCUCAAAGGUUCCCUCAGAAUGGUUGGAAACCAUUCGAAGAGUGCAAAGGCAGAAGGGAGCUUGACUGCGACACCGACGGGUGGAGCAGGUACGAAAGUAGGACUUAGUGAUCCGGUGGUAUAA